RNAcentral lists this long non-coding RNA (216 nucleotides) under Panax ginseng (ginseng). RNAcentral's name for it is "long non-coding RNA (PGIN_LNC015108)". Lineage: Eukaryota; Viridiplantae; Streptophyta; Magnoliopsida; Apiales; Araliaceae. The record is from RNAcentral.
CUAAAACUAACGGUGCAUUGAUGACUUGGAUGGUUGCCAGCACAAUAGUCACACAUAAUUGCCAUCCUUUGACUCUGUUGGGCUGCGAUAACGUCCAACCUCCUCGAAAGUUCUUCAAUCUGUGCCGACAUUGCAGAAAGUGUUGCGAGUCUGUCAAUCUCCGCUCCCCUUGGCUGAGUCAUGUUUGUGUAUGGCCAUUGAUACGCAAAGUCAUCC